Molecule: ribosomal RNA, 376 nt
Filed under: uncultured organism
Description: bacterial SSU rRNA
Rfam family: Bacterial small subunit ribosomal RNA
Source: RNAcentral
CGUAGGGGGCAAGCGUUGUCCGGAUUUAUUGGGCGUAAAGCGCUCGCAGGUGGUCCGUCGCGUCGUGCGUGAAAGCCCCCGGCUCAACUGGGGAGUGUCGUGCGAUACGGGCGGACUGGAGGCCAGUAGGGGGAUGCGGAAUUCCGGGUGUAGUGGUGGAAUGCGUAGAGAUCCGGAGGAACACCAGCGGCGAAGGCGGCAUCCUGGACUGGUCCUGACACUCAUGAGCGAAAGCGUGGGGAGCGAUCCCGGAGUUAGAUACCCGGGGUAGUCCACGCCUGUAAACGAUGCGCACUAGGUGUCGGGGGUAUCGACCCCCUCGGUGCCGCAGCUAACGCGAUAAGUGCGCCGCCUGGGGACUACGGCCGCAAGGCUA